This 420-nucleotide long non-coding RNA is filed under the name Gallus gallus (chicken). Its description in RNAcentral is "lncRNA (ENSGALG00010024043.1)". Lineage: Eukaryota; Metazoa; Chordata; Aves; Galliformes; Phasianidae. The record is from RNAcentral.
GCCGGAUUCAUCUUUACUGCUUGGAGAGCAGGAGUUCCAAUGUGCAGCAGUCGGGCACAAUCCGAAGCAUGUGGAAUAGUGAGAUUUCGGGACAGCCUUUGCUCCUCGUGGCUGAGCUCCGUGUGCGUGGAGAUGUACACGUUGGGUCACAAAUAACACGCGUUGAGGUGGUGUACCCAGAUGGAGGUUUGUUGUGUAUUACUCCAAAUAUACAAAAAUAAAAUAACCAUUGAUCACAGAGGGAUGGCAGGAUAUGCCUCUAAAGAGCUCUGCUGAAAUAUCCACAUAUGUUCUGUAUCUGUAAUGAUGAAGAGAUGAAAGCAGAGUUGGCUCUCUGGAAAAAUGUUCUGGCUGGGACAAAAGCGAAAGUGCUAACAUGCCCUGUGAGUCUCUUCUUGCAAGACUUACCAGAGGUAUCAG